This 497-nucleotide ribosomal RNA is filed under the name uncultured bacterium. RNAcentral describes it as "partial 16S ribosomal RNA". It matches the Rfam family "Bacterial small subunit ribosomal RNA", at positions 28 to 507 of the family's 1533-position model. The record is from RNAcentral.
GAUGAACGCUGGCGGCGUGCCUAAUACAUGCAAGUCGAGCGAACGGACGAGAAGCUUGCUUCUCUGAUGUUAGCGGCGGACGGGUGAGUAACACGUGGAUAACCUACCUAUAAGACUGGGGUAACUUCGGGAAACCGUAGCUAAUACCGGCUAAUAUUUUGAACCGCAUGGUUCAAGAGUGAAAGACGGUCUUGCUGUCACUUAUAGAUGGAUCCGCGCUGGAUUAGCUAGUUGGUAAGGUAACGGCUUACCAAGGCAACGAUGCAUAGCCGACCUGAGAGGAUGAUCAGCCACACUGGGACUGAGACACGGCCCAGACUCCUACGGGAGGCAGCAGUAGGGAAUCUUCGGCAAUGGGCGAAAGCCUGACGGAGCAACGCCGCGUGAGUGAUGAAGGUCUUCGGGUCGUAAAGCUCUGUUGUUAGGGAAGAAAAUAUGUGUAUGAAACUGUGCACAUCAUGACGGUACCGAAAGAGAAAGCAACGGCUAACUACGUG